This 497-nucleotide ribosomal RNA is filed under the name uncultured bacterium. Its description in RNAcentral is "partial 16S ribosomal RNA". It matches the Rfam family "Bacterial small subunit ribosomal RNA", at positions 28 to 507 of the family's 1533-position model. The record is from RNAcentral.
GAUGAACGCUGGCGGCGUGCCUAAUACAUGCAAGUCGAGCGAACGGACGAGAAGCUUGCUUCUCUGAUGUUAGCGGCGGACGGGUGAGUAACACGUGGAUAACCUACCUAUAAGACUGGGAUAACUUCGGGAAACCGGAGCUAAUACCGGAUGAUAUUUUGAACCGCAUGGUUCAAAAGUGAAAGACGGUCUUGCUGUCACUUAUAGAUGGAUCCGCGCUGCAUUAGCUAGUUGGUAAGGUAACGGCUUACCAAGGCAACGAUGCAUAGCCGACCUGAGAGGGUGAUCGGCCACACUGGAACUGAGACACGGUCCAGACUCCUACGGGAGGCAGCAGUAGGGAAUCUUCCGCAAAGGGCGAAAGCCUGAAGGAGCAACGCCGCGUGAGUGAUGAAGGUCUUCGGAUCGUAAAACUCUGUUAUUAGGGAAGAACAUAUGUGUAAGUAACUGUGCACAUCUUGACGGUACCUAAUCAGAAAGCCACGGCUAACUACGUG